UUUCCGUAGGUGAACCUGCGGAAGGAUCAUUAUUGAAAUAAACCUGAUGGGUUGCUGCUGGCUCUCUAGGGAGCAUGUGCACACUUGUCAUCUUUAUAUCUCCACCUGUGCACCUUUUGUAGAUCUGGAUAUCUUUCUGAAUGCCCUGGCAUUCGGGUUUGAGGAUUGACUUGUCUUUCCUUACACUUCCAGGUCUAUGUUUUCUUCAUAUACACCAUGUAUGUUAUAGAAUGUAAUGCAAAGGCCUUUGUGCCUACAAACCUAUACAACUUUCAGCAACGGAUCUCUUGGCUCUCGCAUCGAUGAAGAACGCAGCGAAAUGCGAUAAGUAAUGUGAAUUGCAGAAUUCAGUGAAUCAUCGAAUCUUUGAACGCACCUUGCGCUCCUUGGUAUUCCGAGGAGCAUGCCUGUUUGAGUGUCAUUAAUAUAUCAACCUCCUCAGGUUUUUACUUGUUGAGUGUUUGGAUGUGGGGGUAUUUUUUUGCUGGUCUCUUUUGAGGUCGGCUCCCCUGAAAUGCAUUAGCGGAACAAUUUGUUGACCCGUUCAUUGGUGUGAUAAACUAUCUACGCUAUUGACGUGAAGCAGGUUCAGCUUCUAACAGUCCAUUGACUUGGACAAAUUUUCAUUAAUGUGACCUCAAAUCAGGUAGGACUACCCGCUGAACUUAA
This 669-nucleotide ribosomal RNA is filed under the name Cortinarius purpureus. RNAcentral describes it as "partial ribosomal RNA". The stretch from base 268 to 421 matches the Rfam family "5.8S ribosomal RNA". Lineage: Eukaryota; Fungi; Basidiomycota; Agaricomycetes; Agaricales; Cortinariaceae. The record is from RNAcentral.